GGCAGACGGGUGAGUAACGCGUGGGAAUCUACCCAUCCCUACGGAGCAACUCCGGGAAACUGGAGCUAAUACCGUAUACGCCCUUUGGGGGAAAGAUUUAUCGGGGAUGGAUGAGCCCGCGUUGGAUUAGCUAGUUGGUGGGGUAAAGGCCUACCAAGGCGACGAUCCAUAGCUGGUCUGAGAGGAUGAUCAGCCACAUUGGGACUGAGACACGGCCCAAACUCCUACGGGAGGCAGCAGUGGGGAAUAUUGGACAAUGGGCGCAAGCCUGAUCCAGCCAUGCCGCGUGAAUGAUGAAGGCCUUAGGGUUGUAAAGUUCUUUCACCGGAGAAGAUAAUGACGGUAUCCGGAGAAGAAGCCCCGGUAACUUCGUGCCAGCCGCCGCGG
This 387-nucleotide ribosomal RNA is filed under the name uncultured bacterium. RNAcentral's name for it is "bacterial SSU rRNA". It matches the Rfam family "Bacterial small subunit ribosomal RNA", at positions 97 to 520 of the family's 1533-position model. The record is from RNAcentral.